UCCUGUUUCCCUUACUUCCUGUUUCUGUGGUACCCUGGAUGGAGACCUGAGGUGAUGAAGAUCAGUGGUGUGUUAGCGGUGCUCCUCAUGGUUUUUGAGUCCAUUCAUGGUUUAGAAGAUGUGAUUAUAACCUGUAGUGAACAGUGGCUGCGGGUGAGAGUUAAAUGGCAGGUUCUCGGGAAUCACCAGGAGCCCCGGCCAUCUGAGCUGUAUCUAGGAACUCGCUGUGCUGCAACCGGAAGGCCCAUGGGUUACUAUGAGUUUUUUUAUUCUAUCUCUCAAUGUGGAAUCAGAGCUGAAGUACGCUUAUGGGGUAUUCUCAUUGAAAGUUCAAUCAAUUAUGAACCGGAAAAUUCAGAUGUCUGGGGUUUCUUACCAAUAUCGUGCUAUAUUCAAAGAUCAUUUACAUUAAAUUAUUCGAAAAAGGUAAAAGACGAUAAGGGCGACGCGUCCAAAAAACCAGCCAGAAAGAAGAGUUCAAGGUUACUUGAAGCAAAAAACACAGGGACCCGCCCAGAAGGGGCAGUAAGCAGUAUUGCAGGACCAUAUCCAAUUUCUCCCUCCCGGUUAAGUAUGGAAAUUUAUCUGUGAAUGCAGGAGGGAGAGGCAGCCACAGUGACCCCGGAACUGUGGCUCCUGAGGACUGUCCUGCCUGUUGGAGAAUGGGCUAAUGCCUAUGGAUUUCAUUUUCUACCUGUUUUAAAAUUACCAUUUUAAAUUUCCUCUGCAGUCUGUAUUUAUGAACAUUUUGGUGUGUGUGGGGGCAAGAGCUUCUUCAGAGUUUAAGCUUGUAAUGAAGGAAUUUUUUAAAAUAAAGAUUUGAAA
RNAcentral lists this long non-coding RNA (825 nucleotides) under Heterocephalus glaber (naked mole-rat). Its description in RNAcentral is "lncRNA (ENSHGLG00000026284.2)". The record is from RNAcentral. Lineage: Eukaryota; Metazoa; Chordata; Mammalia; Rodentia; Bathyergidae.